UAAGAAGAGGAGAUUAAAACACAGACACACACACAGGGAAAAUCAUGUGAGGUUACGGAGAUGGUGGCAUCUAGAAGCCAAGGAGAGAGGCCUCAGAAGAAACCACCCUGCCAACACCUUGAUCUUGGACUCCAGCCUCCAGAACUAAAGAAGAAUGCGAUUUUGCCAGGUCGACAGCAAUAACACCCACUUUUGACAGCCCUCAAGUCCUCCCAGCCAGAAGCCAAACAGAAAGUCAAAGCCGGCUGUGUUUCCACCACCCCCAGGAUGGCUCAUCUUGCUCUCCUGCUGGCCUUGAAGAAGCCAGCUACGCAUUGGGACUGCUGACAGAGGGCUUGUGCCAAGGAACCACAGUGGCCCUUAGCAAUGGACAGCAGCCUCUGGCUGGCAGGUGGUGAGCAGUGUGAUGCUCUCAGUCUUAUGACCACAAGGAAAUAGCUUCUAACAACCUGAGGGAACGUAGAAGCAGAUUCUACCCCCGUCAAACCUCUAGAUCACAGAACAGGCUGCCUGUCACCUUGACUUUUGCCUGUGACCCUGAGCAGGGACCCAGGAAGACCAUGCUCAGAUCCUUAAUGCCCAGAAACUGGGAGACAAUGUGUGUUGCUUAAAGCUGCUUAGUUUGCAGUAAUUUGUUAUGCAGCAGUGGAUGACUGGUAAAAGGAUUUGUGGAGUAAAGGAGUCAAGCAAUGUCCCAGGGGUGUUAUGGAGCUACUGAAGAAGACAAGCUAUGCCAGCCUUUUUAGAAGGAACUUUUGCAUUGAGGAGGAGGAAACUGCUUGGGUUUCUUAGCCAUCUUCCUAAAGAAGAUGUGAUAGAAAUACUUCGAGAAGAAUCUGGGGAAAGCAUGGGGCUCAUCAGUUCCUGGAUGGACUUGAUCAACUCAUUCCUGUGGAACGAACGAGUCCAGUAAAGACCAUGGGAAGUGCCACGACAGUGGUGUGGAGUGUCCCAGCCUACGUGAUGGACAGAGGGGGGCCACUGUGGCUGGAGUGGAGUGGACUCGAGCUAGUGCUAGCAAAGUGGGUCAAGGGGGUCAGAUAGACCCAGGAAGCCUCUGUAAGGACUUUGGCUUUUAGUGAAUAGCAUUGGAAACUGUUCAAAGGUGUUGAGGAGUGGUGAGGGGAGUGGCAUGACCUGACACAUUCUAAGGUCACCUGUACUCUCAGGACCAAUUUGUGAGUGUGCGGGAGGAGUCCGUGACCUAGUGGCAGAGAUUUUGAUUCACUUUUGUAUCCCUCACAUGACUCAGCAUAACAUCUGACAUAUUAACUGUUCAGUGUUUGUUGGAUUGAAUUGAAUGUAUAAACCAUCCAUUAUUGCUGUAAGAUUUUUAAAAAUUUCUUUUUACUUAUUUAUUUGAGAGAGAGAGAAAGAGAGUGUGAGUGAGAAUCCCAACCAGACUCUACACUCAGCACAGAGCCCAACAAGGGGCUUGAUCUCAUGACCUGAGCUAGAAUCAAGAGUCGGACACUUUACCGAUUGAGCCACCCAGGUGCCUGGCUGUGAGAUUUUUUUAACAUUCUGAAAAGUUUAAGCCCCAAACAUAUGCAUGAUGUCUAACUGGUUUAUCAAAGCCAUUGACAUAACUGGCGAAAUUGAAAGCAAAGCUGUGUUGUUGAGUAGGGCAUUUCUGGUUUUUUAAUCCUCCUCAAAUGUCAUGGAUAAGAAAAAAAUGAGCAGGUGUUAUCUUAGGCAGGUGAAGGGCAGCCCAUCCCUUGCCUGCUGACGUUAAAGAAGAUGGAAUAAGACCUUUUUCUCUUGUGUGUGUUGGGAGGUGCAGGGUUGUCCUCUCCUACAAGGGCUCUUGCAAAUCUUUGCCCAUAGCAUCUGCUACUGAAACCGUUCAUCAAGUUUACCUUGUGACUUCCACUCUUGUUAUUUUGAUUGCUAUAUUUUUUUUCUCCAAAAAGAUUUAGGAUUCCACAGAAACCCCUAGGACCAAUAACAUAUUGAAAUGUAUGAAUAGUUGUAUACCUAAGGUAUGUGUGAUGAUGGAUUCUAUGUGUGGAUGAGGCUAGUCCACAGUACCCGAAUGUUUGGUCAAAUACCAGUCCAGAUAUUGCUAUGAUGGUAUUUAUUAGAUGUAAUUAAAUCAGUACACGUGGGGUAAAGCUGAUUACCCUUUGUA
Nyctereutes procyonoides (raccoon dog) is the source of this 2131-nucleotide long non-coding RNA. RefSeq lists it as uncharacterized. The record is from RefSeq and is a predicted model, not a curated record. The transcript has 3 exons. NCBI's taxonomy places the organism in Eukaryota, Metazoa, Chordata, Mammalia, Carnivora, Canidae.